RNAcentral lists this ribosomal RNA (497 nucleotides) under uncultured bacterium. Its description in RNAcentral is "partial 16S ribosomal RNA". It matches the Rfam family "Bacterial small subunit ribosomal RNA", at positions 28 to 507 of the family's 1533-position model. The record is from RNAcentral.
GACGAACGCUGGCGGCGUGCCUAAUACAUGCAAGUUGAGCGCUGAAGGUUGGUACUUGUACCAACUGGAUGAGCAGCGAACGGGUGAGUAACGCGUGGGGAAUCUGCCUUUGAGCGGGGGACAACAUUUGGAAACGAAUGCUAAUACCGCAUAAAAACUUUAAACACAAGUUUUAAGUUUGAAAGAUGCAACUGCAUCACUCAAAGAUGAUCCCGCGUUGUAUUAGCUAGUUGGUGAGGUAAAGGCUCACCAAGGCGAUGAUACAUAGCCGACCUGAGAGGGGAAGCGGCCACAUUGGGACUGGGACACGGCCCAAACUCCUACGGGAGGGAGCAGUAGGGAAUCUUCGGCAAUGGAAGAAAGGCUGACCGAGCAACGCCGCGGGAGUGAAGAAGGUUGUCGGAUCGUAAAACGCAGUUGGUAGAAAAGAACGUUGGUGAGAGUGGAAAGCUCAGCAAGUGACGGUAACUACCCAGAAAGGGACGGCUAACUACGUG